GCUAUAUCACUUUUUAAUGGACACCCUGCAGCCGAUCAGAAUCAAGUAUUCACCCAGACCGUGGUAUAACAUUUAACCAUGUGUAAGUUACAGAAUAUUCUUAGAGGAUUGUGGAUAUAUCUCUAAGCAGCUCAUUAUGUAAUUGGUGAUCAGACUCUAUGGGUUACAAAGUUUGCCUACGUCACAGAGGUCAUUUAAGGUCAGAGGGCAAGUUCAGCUACAUCUGGAGCAGAGAGGGUGCCUCAAUCUGGUUCAAGCACUCCUCAGGAUAGGAAGGCCGAUCUUACUACCGUGGGGGCUUGAACUCAUGCUCACUGUGCUGGACUGCUGUCCCCAGUGUACAAACCCUUCAUGCAAUGUCCUGGAGGAAAUAAUGGCAAAGAGAAGGAGAGGACUACGCAGCCUCUGGAAUUGACUGUGAAAUUAACGGGAGAAACGUUAUUCCAGUGCGCUGCACUAACCAGUGUAACAAAUAGUGACAGCGAUAACGAAGCAGGUAAUGAAAUAACCCUCUCAUCUUGUCUCCGUGGGCCAACCCUCCAGCAGCUAUUUGUCACAAAGCAGAUGUUUCAGAGAACCAUGACCUCGAGUGUGGUUGCUGGGGAAUGGGAGCUUGGCGCCAGUUGUGAUUGGAAACCUGCAGAGCAGUGAGGGCAUGGCCAAGAGUUUUAAUGAAGAUUUUGAGACUGGAGCUGAUGACGAGUCUAUUUCCCUGGACUUGAUUCAGCUGUUUCUCCAUCUGGCGUUUGAGCACCUGGGGU
Molecule: long non-coding RNA, 761 nt
Organism: Sander lucioperca (pikeperch)
Lineage: Eukaryota; Metazoa; Chordata; Actinopteri; Perciformes; Percidae
Exons: 6
Source: RefSeq, a predicted model, not a curated record